GACGAACGCUGGCGGCGUGCUUAACACAUGCAAGUCGAACGGUGAAGGGAUCAGCUUGCUGGUUCUGGAUGAGUGGCGAACGGGUGAGUAACACGUGAGUAACCUGCCCCCUUCUUCUGGAUAACCGCAUGAAAGUGUGGCUAAUACGGGAUAUUCUGGGUCUGUCGCAUGAUGGGUCUGGGAAAGAUAUUGUUUCGGUGGGGGAUGGGCUCGCGGCCUCUCAGCUUGUUGGUGGGGUGAUGGCCUAGCAAGGCGGUGACGGGUAGCCGGCCGGAGGGGGGGGACGGUUACACCGGGACUGAGACACAGCCCAGACUGCUACGGGACGCAGGAGUGGGGACUAUUGCACAAUGGGGGCAAGCCUGAUGAAGCGACGCCGCGUGAGGGAUGGAGGGCUUCGGGUUGUAAACCUCUUUCGGCAGUGAAGCAGGCCUGCUCAUUGUGGGUGGGUUGACGGUAGCUGGAUAAGAAGCGCCGGCUAACUACGUG
RNAcentral lists this ribosomal RNA (489 nucleotides) under uncultured bacterium. Its description in RNAcentral is "partial 16S ribosomal RNA". It matches the Rfam family "Bacterial small subunit ribosomal RNA", at positions 28 to 507 of the family's 1533-position model. The record is from RNAcentral.